Molecule: long non-coding RNA, 7991 nt
Filed under: Ananas comosus (pineapple)
Lineage: Eukaryota; Viridiplantae; Streptophyta; Magnoliopsida; Poales; Bromeliaceae
Description: long non-coding RNA (ACOM_LNC003155)
Source: RNAcentral
ACUCGAACCACCCUAGGGACCGUCCUCUGGGGGGACUUUACCACGCCCAAUGGUGACCAACUCCGGAGCGCACCGCUCGAGGGGGAGCUACCUCCCUCAAGCCAAGACUUAUCGUGAGUAUCGAUCCAAUCCUCGACUUGAGGAUACACAGCCACUAGUCACAAUGCCAUUGUCAUAAUAGGUUUCUACCUAUUUGUUCAUGCUACUUUCCAAGUCAUACUUGUCACAAUGUCACUAUGGUUAAACUAUGUUUAACAACCAAUUUCUCAAUGCCAAUCAUGUCUCGAUUGUCAAUGUCACCUUUGUUUACUAUUGUCAAAGUCCAAGUCUCACAUUCAUACAACUUUAGGGUCUCUACCAUACAUGUCCAUUAUGGUUCUAUCAUUCUCUAUGUUCAACUACAUUAGAAGCAUAUAAAUCAUGUCUAACCAAGUUUCACAUGUAAAAUUACCCUAUUAUGCAUGAAUAAUUCUAUAUACAAGUAUGCUCAAUAAAGGUGAAAAUAGACAUAAAGGGGAAUCCGAUGAUUCUGGCGUGCACCCCCGACCUUGAAUAUCGUAGAAGGGUUGUAAUUCGACCCUCGUGAUUUUAGGACGCCUCUCCCGCGACCUAAACCCAAAAUAAAGCCAAAUUAGGCCCUAUAUACUAGAUCUCUUACUUAACCUUUUCGUAACGUUAAACGGAGUUGUCACAAGCGUCGGGAAUACCCCCAAUUAGGUUUCCAAGAGGUCAAUUUACCUCAGAAACAACCGGAGGCGAAAGCCCGAAUUUCCAAGCCCUAACAAUACGAUAAUGGAAUUUCUCCUAGAUUGAUCUCAUCUCUAAGCAAAAAUUAGCUUAGAAUCAAUUAGGAAGCAUUCUAAUACCAUUACUAAGCCCCUUGAACCAUUCCUAGGGCAUCUACUUUGGAUUCUAACAAUCCACCAUGAGAGCACCUUGAGAAAACCAUGCUUUCAUGGUGUUCUAAGCUCUAGAGGGUUUCUAAGCUUAUUAGAGGAUCAAAACUCCAAAACUUAAGGUUUAAAACCAAACCCUAGAGUUCUACUUGCAAGAUAACUCACCCUUGCCCAAGCUACACCAAGCUCCUUCUUGUUGGAGAGCUUCUAGCAACUUCAACUCCACCAAAACCACCUUCUCCUUGUUUCUUCUCCACCUCGUCCUUGCCCUAGAGCAAGAGUUCUAGAGAGAGAGAGAGAAAUGAGAGAAAGAGAGAAUGGAGGUCCCUGCUGUGAAGAGAGGGAAGAUGGGCUCCUAUAUAGUGUGCAACAAUUGCAAUUAAGCCCCCCAAAAGUCUUAUUUGCAAUAGACUUCAAAACUGCUGCCAGACCAAAGUGUACCGGUACACUUUGGGCUGUUACCGGUUACACGAUUACGCAGGGCAAACCCGAGAGCGUUUCCCUCGGAUUUUACCAAAGUAUACCAGUACACACCAAGGGUGUACCGGUACAUUUUCUAAGAAAAUCUCAAACCUGAGAGCUUACUCUGCGCGUGCUGCUGGGCUGUUACCGGUGACAACUUGAUGGUUGUACCGGUACACUUUGGCCAGAAUGCAAUUUUAGCUCCGAUUCGACUCUAUUUCGCGUCGGUCGAUGCUAAAACCCUCCUAACUCUUUCUAAACUUACUUUUAGCCCUUCCAACAUUGUUGGAAUGCUAAAUGCAACUCAUCCAUCCAUCAUUUUCGCAUACUUUAGUCAAUUUGGCUAAUGUUCGAUUAUUUCUUCCGGGUUUCAAUACGUUACAUUCUCCACCCCUUAAGAUUAGUUUCGUCCGCAAAACUAACUUAAUUGCAAUCUAAAACUCAUACCUCAUCUUAGUUCUUUGAAGAGAUGAGGAUGACGUUCUUUCAUCGCAUCCUCAAACUCCCAAGUUUCUUCCCGAUCGUCGUGUUCACUCCAAUGAACCUUAACAUAUGGAAUUUCACGAUUCCGUAGUUUUCGCACCUUCCGAUCAACAAUGUACUCCGAGAACUCCUCGUAAGUCAUAUCCUCUUGAAGUUCUAUCGGUAUAUACGAGAGAAUAUGCUCCGGAUCAUGGACAUACUUGCGGAGAUUGGAUACAUAAAACACAUCGUGCACCCCCGCAAGCCUCGGUGGUAAUGCUACUUUGUAAGCCACCGCACCAACCCUUUCUAAGAUCUCAAAGGGUCCGACAAAUCGGGGACUUAGCUUUCGCCGGACACCGAACUGCUUAACACCGCGCAUCAACGAUACCUUUAGAAAUAUGCGGUCUCCAACCGCGAACUCGAUAUCUUUCCUUCGCUUGUUGGCAUAGCUUUUGUGCCUCGAUUGCGCCGUCGCUAAUCUUUGUCGGGCAAGGCGAACUUUCUCCUCCGCCUCCCGAACCACAUCGGGGCCAAGGGCAACUCUCUUGCCCACAUCGCUCCAAUGAAUAUGAGAGCUAUAUUUUCUUCCAUAAAAGGCCUCAAAUGGCGCCAUUGCAAUACUUUCUUGAUAGCUAUUGUUGUAUGUGAAUUUCGCCAUCGAUAAAUGAUCAUGCCAUCCGCCCUUAUAGUCGAGUACACACGCUCGAAGCAUGUCCUCAAGUAUUUGAAUGGUCCUCUCCGAUUGGCCGUCACUUUGAGGAUGGAAUGCCGUACUAAAGUCGAGCCGUGUGCCUAACGCGUCUUGCAAGCUCUUCCAAAAAUAUGAUGUGAACCUCGGGUCCCAAUCUGAUACAAUAGAUAUCGGAACCCCGUGAAGUCUCACAAUCUCGUCGAGAUAAACCUGAGCUAGCUUGUCUCCCGACCAAGUAGUGUGGAUCAGUAAAAAGUGUGCCGAUUUCGUCGACCGGUCCACAACUACCCAAAUCGCAUCAUGUCCACCUUGGGAUCUAGGCAACCCCGUCACAAAGUCCAUAGCGAUAUUUUUCCACUUCCAAACGGGUAUAGGCAAACUUUGUAACUUUCUCGCCGAGAAUCGCCGUUCCGCCUUAACUUGUUGGCACGUGAGGCAUUGUACCACAAACUCCCAUAUGUCCUUUUUCAUGCCCGGCUACCAAUAAUGUAGCUUCAAAUCUUGAUACAUUUUAGUGCCGCUCGGGUGUAUACUAUAGGGAGCUUGAUGCACUUCUUGCAUAAUCGCCCUCCUAAGAUCGUCAUCCUUGGGCACGCACCAACGAUUCCGAUAUCGUAGCGCGCCAUCGGUCCCAAUGCCAAAAUCAUCGGCACUACCGCUCUCAACUUUAUCCCGCACUUUUUGGAGAAAUGAAUCGAAAACUUGGAGUUCUUUAAUCCUCUCCAACAAGGUCGGUUGUACAAUCAACGUGGCAAGUGUUGCCGGCACUCCCGGCGCCACAACUUCAAGUCCAAACCGUUGCAUCUCCUUUUGCAAAGCCAGUUGGGAUGUAAUUGCUGUCGCCAAAUUUUCCGCCGACUUUCUACUUAAAGCAUCGGCCACGACAUUUGCUUUUCCGGAGUGGUAGAGAAUCGUGACGUCAUAAUCUUUUAGCAACUCCAACCACCGCCGCUGUCGCAAAUUUAAUUCCUUUUGGGUGAACAAGUAUUUGAGACUCUUAUGAUCGGUGUAGAUCUCACAAUGCUCACCAUACAAAUAAUGCCUCCACAAUUUUAGUGCGAAGAUAACCGCCGCUAGCUUGAGAUCGUGAGUCGGGUAGUUUUUUUCAUAACUCUUUAAUUGAAGCGAACCAUAUGCUAUAACUCGGCCAUUUUGCAUCAAAACACACCCGAGACUGAUAUAAGAGGCAUCACUGUACACUACAUAGCUCUCCCUCGGCGUCGGCAAAGCAAGUACCGGGGUCGACGUCAAUCUUUCCUUUAACUCCUUGAAGCUCCGCUCACAUUCGGCGCUCCAAAUGUACUUCAUCCCUUUGUGGGUAAGGCGCGUUAAUGGAGUAGUUAUCUUGGCAAACCCCUCCACGAACCGCCGAUAGUAGCCCGCAAGUCCCAAAAAGCUACGAAUCUCCGAUACACUUGUCGGGCGAGGCCAAUCUUUAAUAGCCUCCACUUUCUUUGGGUCUACCAAGAUGCCAUCACCGAAUAUAACGUGACCCAAGAAAGUAACCUCCGAAAGCCAAAACUCACAUUUCUUUAAUUUUGCAUAUAGCUUCUCUUUUCGGAGCGUCUCCAACACGAUUCUCAAAUGCUCCUCGUGUUCUUCCUCGGUCUGAGAAUAUACUAAUACGUCGUCAAUGAAUACCACGAUGCACCGGUCCAAUAGCAAACGGAAGACUCGAUUCAUUAAGUCCAUAGAAGCCGCCGGGGCAUUAGUAAGCCCGAAUGGCAUGACUGUGAACUCAUAGUGGUCAUACCGCGUACGGUAUGCCGUUUUGUGCACAUCCUUGGGCCGUAUCUUCAAUUGAUGAUACCCCGAUUGAAGAUCAAUUUUAGAAUAUACUCUUGACCCUUGCAACUGAUCGAACAAAUCGUCAAUUCUAGGCAACGGGUACUUGUUCUUGAUCGUCACUUUGUUCAACUCGUGAUAAUCAAUGCAAAGUCGAAGCGUGCCAUCCUUUUUCUUUACAAAUAGCACAGGAGCUCCCCACGGAGACACUCUCGGCCGCAUAAAGCCUUUAUCGAGCAAGUCUUGCAAUUGAGCCUUUAAUUCCUUAAGUUCUACCGUUGCUAUUCUAUACGGAGCCUUCGAAAUUGGCGCCGCCCUGGGAAUUAAGUCAAUGACGAACUCGACUUCCCUGUCCAGUGGCAAUCCCGGUAACUCCGCCGGAAACACAUCCGGAUACUCGCAUACUACCCGAAUACCUUCAAGUUCCAGGUACUCCUUUUGGGCGUCUACGAUGGUCGCCAAAUAGGCCUUACAACCACCCUUAAUUAUUUUCCUCGCUCUCGCUGCCGAUACGGUCGCCGCGAAGCGCCUACUUUUACACGCCCGGUAUAUCAAUUCUUUUUGAUUAGGUUCACCGAACGUGAUCACCUUACUUUCACAAUCUAUGACCGCGUAAUACUUGGAGAGCCAAUUGAUCCCCAAGAUCACAUCGAAGCCCCAUAUUUGAUUUAACACCAAAAGGUCGAUCGGCAUAACCCAAUCACCUAUCUGUACCGGACACGCUAAGCACUCGUCAUGUACAUGAAACGAAUGCUCUGGAGUAUUCACCAACCAAUAAUCUUCAUUAUGUGUGAUCUCAAUGUCAUGAGUCUUAGCGAAUGAUGCAUCAAUGAAUGACUGAGAUGCACUCGUGUUGAAUAUAGCUCUAGCUCUAGUGCCUCUGAUAAGAAUAAUACCUGCCAUGACGUCGUCGGGGACUGGAAUCAGCUGCUCCUCUACCUGAGUGGCAAAAACCCGCCCACUAGGUGCUCGAGAAGCCUCCGGCUGAUGAGGCACUGAUAAAUGUCCAGCAGAUAUAGCGGGUGGUAGUCCCGCCAGCUGUCGUGGAGUAUACUAGACGGAAGCUGAUGACGGAGCUGGGGAUGCGCCGCCCGGGCACUCUCGGCUCAUGUGCCCCAGUUGGCCGCAUUGGAAGCAUCGCCCUCCCACUGUGGACAAGUAGCGACUCUAUGAUCUCCGCCGCAUAUCACGCACGGGUAGGUAGUCUGGCUCUGUGUCUUACUCCUACCUCCCCGCCACUGUGAUCGCUGAUAUCGAGGGGGUCGCUUAGAACUUGACUGCCCCGCGGAUACACUAGAUGCCCACUUCUUGGACUUAUCCCUUUCCUUGUCCUUCUCGAGAGCCUCGCGCUCCUCUCGCGCAAUAGCAUUACCGUCUCUACCCAAAGCACGCGGUCAAGUACCUCCUCGUAGGUCUUUAACCGAAAGGCAUGAAUAACCUUGAAAAUCCCGGGUCGCAACCCGCGCUCGAAUGCCUCCGCCCUGUCCCUAUCACCAUGAACCAAGCUCAGCACGCAAUUGACAAGGUGCGUGAACUCUCUUUCGUACUCCCGCACUGUGCGACUUCCUUGCCUCAACUUUCGAAAAUCCUCCUUGAUUUUCCGCUUGUCACUCUCGAAAAAAUACUCCAUCAAUAGCAUCUCCCGAAAUGCCUCCCAAGUAACAGAAGCGGAAUCCAACAAGUGAUUCUUUUUCGCUUGAGUCCACCACAACCGAGCCGACCAGUCGAAACAGUGAGCCGCAAGGUGAACCUUAUCCUUCUCGACGGUGUAAAUGUCCUCAAACAACGCUUCCAUCGUGGCCAACCACGACUCCACCAACCAAGGAUCCUUCAUAUCGCCGUUGAAGGUCGGAGGGUUGAAUCACUUGAAUGCCAUCAGCGCCGCCAACAAUCGCUCCUGCUCGGCCUCAAGUACAUCGAGAAUAAGGGCCGAUGAACCCGAUGCCAUUGGAGGAAUAGCCGUCACUGGUGCUACCGCCACCGCAGGAGGUGGUGCUAUAGGAGCAAUAGGUGCGGGCGGAUCCCUCGGCACAAAUGCCGCCGCCGCCGCCUGUCGCGCCAUCAACUCGUGGAGCUGUCCAAUUUGCUCCCCCUGUAGCCGCAUAGCCCCGGCCAAUGCCGCUACUUGGGCUCGCAGCUCGCGCACUUCAUCCGUUCCCGUCUGCUCGGGCACUUCAUCAGGCAAUGCCGAAGCGGCUCUACACGUGUAGCGUCUCGGGGACAUUGUUCCUGAAACGUAUCACAUGCAUUAGUACUCGAUACACGUGACUCUUACACGUUCCAAAUAAUUACCCCAUUAAGCGAAAGCAAUCAAGUGUAUUUAUUUCCAACCCUUGGCAUCAUGUGGUCGGCCAGCCCACACAAACCCCUUAAGUAGAAAACAAAUAAACACUUGAAUCCAUCUCUAAUUCCUUUUAGAGAAGUACCAUCAUUAACCCAAUCAACUAGCUUUCGCAAGUACCAAGUUCACGUUAAACGUUUCCUAAGUCCCUAAGGUCUCCAAUCCUAGGGUUCCUAAGUCCAUCCUAGACUUUUGCUUUCUUCCAUAGCUCUGAUACCAUUAUAUCUGUCACGCCCCAAUCCCUGCCAAAUUGGUCGAGCUCGGGUCACGUCAACAGACGCCGAACGGACAGCAUCUCCACUGUCCGCCCAAGGCUCUAACAACAAGUAUAAUUAAGCAAUCAAACAAAGAGAUAUGCAAUUAUACAAGGCUUGCACGAGGCAAGCAACAACGGAAGCGAAAGUUCUAAGCUAAAUAUACAACCAUAUAUGAUAUUUGAUUAUAUUUUAACCAAAUACAAAUAAACUACAACUAUUACAUUCUUUUUCCAUUCAACCAUAAUUCCUUACAUUUUGUCAUUCACCAAAAUACAUGAUAUGUUUUCAACUUUACAAUUCUAAUUCAACAAAAUAAAACUUGAUACAUGUAGGCAAAGGAAUGACUAAAAAUGUAUAAGUCCCGGUAGCCACUAGCUAUGGCGCAAUACCCUUGCCACGGUCCUCCGCCGCCCCGCUCAUGCUCGGACCUAUAGGGUUCGUGGUGUGAGAACUACAACGAAGUUUCCAGUGGGUUCGGCAACUGACCUCGCCGACUUACCCACUAGGUCUAUUCAGGCAUAAGUAUUUCAAAGGAAAGGAAAGUAGUAACCAUACUAAUGCUAAUACUAUGCCUGCAAGAAAACUGUCAAUAGAUAUAUAAUUAAAGCAAUAUUAAAUAUGCAUGCAUGCUUUUCCAUGAUUUUACUUUGGCUUUUACCCAAUCUUACUGGUUAACCUUGUUAACCCCAAUAACUCACAACCCAAAAUCCCUUAAUAAUGGGGGACUCGAACAACCCUAGGGACCGUCCUCUGGGGGGACUUUACCACGCCCAGUGGUGACCAACUCUGGAGCGCACCGCUAGAGGGGGAGCUACCUCCCUCAAGCCAAGACUUAUCGUGAGUAUCGAUCCAAUCCUAGACUUGAGGAUACACAGCCGCUAGUCACAAUGCCAUUGUCAUAACAGGUUUCUACCUAUUUGUUCAUGCUACUUUCCAAGUCAUACUUGUCACAAUGUUGCUAUGGUUAAACUAUGUUUAACAACCAAUUUCUCAAUGCCAAUCAUGUCUCUAUUGUCAAUGUCACCUUUGUUUACUAUUGUCCAAGUCCAAGUCUCACAUUCAUACAACUUUAGGGUCUCUACCAUACAUGUCCA